Molecule: non-coding RNA, 2511 nt
Organism: Ictidomys tridecemlineatus (thirteen-lined ground squirrel)
Lineage: Eukaryota; Metazoa; Chordata; Mammalia; Rodentia; Sciuridae
Source: RefSeq, a predicted model, not a curated record
GACCUCCAAUGGCAGGGUUGGGCUGGGCGGGAGGCCACAGUCCUCAGGUUCCCACAGGCCCUGGUCCAGAGGGGGCAGAGGCAUCCCCUGGGGACGCGGGAAGGAGUUCCUGCCCCAUGGCACACGGCCCCCAGCUGUGUGCACCGGGGCUUCAUCUCCUGAGCAGCAGCAGUGGCUCUACUUACCAUCAAGGAUUGUGAUGAGCACAGAAGCCUUCCGUGGGGCUGGAGAAGACAACGGAGGUGGAUGCUGCCCCCAAGUUCAAUCUCAAACAAAAUGGCUCUAUUUUUUUUUCUGAAAUGUUAACUUGGGAAAUUUAAGAAACCACCUUAAAAGUCACUUCUGACCGCUUCUAGAUGUUUCACCUCAUUACACGGUGCCUGCUCAGGUGCUUGCCCUCGCACCCGGCGCUGUCUUCCAGCCAGGACCACCCUGUUCUCUCUAAGUUGCCUCCUCGCUCCCCUUCCUCCAAGGGAUGCCAAGAUCCUGGAGCACAGUCUCCACGGCGCCUGCUCAUGUCCCUCUGGUUCUGCAUUUACACACUGCGAAUUUGUGAAAAUGAGGCAGAGGUCCACCAGCCUCGAGGAAGCUUCUCCGAGGGACGUGCACUUCCCAGAAGGGGGCCACUGUCUGACUCAUUAACUACUCAAUUAAAGGUGGCUCCCUGCAGGGAGGGAACGCAGCUGGCUGGUGUGGACUUGGCUCUCAGGACUCCCUCUGCCAUCAGGCAAUUCCAGCGGAGGACGAGGUACAGAGCCCGGUCAGGCCAUGAGGUGUCCUCUGUGAAUAAUGGAGACAAAUUAAAGACAAGGGCUUUCUUCACACAGAAAUUGGAUGUCAGUGACAAAGUCCCACUAAUACCAAGCCUUUCUCCAGAAGUAGCAGCAUAUGGAUAAUGUGUAGCAGUAGGUCACUGGCUUGCCUAUCAGAAACACUCAGAAGGCUUACAGUUCCGUUCUUGAGCAACAGGAAGGACAGGCAGGCUGUCAAAGGUCCCCCAGAUGACCCGUGCUCCUCUCUCCUCAUUGGACUUCAGCUUCUUCAAUGGUCAAGGACAGCGACCAACUCAGUCACGUGGUAAGUCAGUCCUACAGAACUGAAAAGGGAGGAAUCAGACCAGAGAGACACAGCCUGCUCUCUCCUGCGACAGGGCUCUGUGUGGUCUGGAGGUGAGCAGAGCAGCCAGCGGGGUGCAGACCUGAGCUGGGUGCAGCUCUGAAUGUGUCAUUAGGGCCUGGGGUGGAUAUCCUCUGACUUUCUCUCAUCCAAAACCCAAGGUGGCAGAGUGUGAGGAGAGGAGUCCCCUGUCCAAGGUGCGCCACCUGGUCACCCCAUGACACCAGGAGUGCAAGCCUCCCACUCUGCACCAGACCUGGCGCCCCACGGCUGGGCUCUGUCCUUUAGGAGGCCUUCUCUGAAUCCUAAUCCCCGAUGGCCUUUCCAGCAUUGUGUGCACCCAAUUGAGGACGGCUAAGAAGACUUUAGCAUCAGGGAGUCCCGCCUUUGUCCCUGGCUCGAGGUUGGCUUGUGUAGCACCUACCCACCGUCUCCAGCUGUGAGCUCUCCUAAGAGGUGUGGUCCACUGCCAAGGACCCAGGGCAGUGUGCCUGCUGGGGCUCAGCCCUCAUGUCCUCUGUAAUGUGCUGUGACAUCAGGGUGUCCAAAGAAAGUCACAGCAGAGUGACAGGGGCACCCAGCUGCACCUCAUUGUCAUUCCAUCUGCACUACUCAGUGAUGAAACCCGCGUCUUGAUGAUCACAGAUAUUACCCCAAAGAGAAAAUACAGGUUUUUAAAGGGUGAUGCAAUGUAUUUGUGAGUAAUGACAUCUUAAGAAUAUAGAUUAUAAAAGUAUUUGUCAGACUCUUUACCUGCUCAAAAUAGUAUUUCUGAAAUAAUAUCUGAGAAAGAAAACUUAUCUAGCAAAAAUAGUUUCUUAGACUUUCUGUACAGUGCACAUUUUUGGCGAUGGGGGUUUUACAUAUUACCUAAAGCCAAGAAUAACUUGGCAUAUCAUUCCCAAAACUUCUGAAUGUUGCAUUGAGGUUUAUGGCAUUACCGUUGCAGAAGAAUAUGAAAUAGAAAGGAUUUAUAUUAUAUUUUUAAAACUUGGACCUGUCUGUUAAAAAUGAGCCCAUAUAUUUCUCUGCUCUUGUUAGCCAGAGAAAGAUACAGGAGGAAAAGGAGGAAAUGAAUUCACUGAGAAGGACAAUGAUGAAUCUGCUGGUUUCUUAUCUGGCAGACUGCCUCCUAACCACUUCUAAUCUGUUAUCUCAAUUAAACCACAUUCCAACACAAAUAAAUAAAAUCAGCAAUUCUCUGGACGGAUAAUAUCGUCAAAUCCCCAAAGGCUUAUAACACUGUAUUAUCCUGGGGUCCGAAGGCCUCAGACUGCAUCCCUGAUGCAAAUGAAAACCCGUUCUGCCUGGUGAGUUAUCUGGAGAAACAGGACAUGCCGGGGCUUCCUGCUGCUGGUAGGUUCAGAUGGUAAUGGGCAGCGAGCAGCUUCCUGU